RNAcentral lists this ribosomal RNA (95 nucleotides) under Clostridioides difficile. Its description in RNAcentral is "partial 16S ribosomal RNA". It matches the Rfam family "Bacterial small subunit ribosomal RNA", at positions 1439 to 1533 of the family's 1533-position model. RNAcentral also lists the same sequence under 3 other names. Lineage: Bacteria; Bacillati; Bacillota; Clostridia; Peptostreptococcales; Peptostreptococcaceae. The record is from RNAcentral.
CCUUUUGGAAGAAGUCGUCGAAGGUGGAAUCAAUAACUGGGGUGAAGUCGUAACAAGGUAGCCGUAUCGGAAGGUGCGGCUGGAUCACCUCCUUU